CCUACGGGCGGCAGCAGUGAGGAACAUUGGUCAAUGGACGAGAGUCUGAACCAGCCAAGUAGCGUGAAGGAUGACUGCCCUAUGGGUUGUAAACUUCUUUUAUAUGGGAAUAAAAUGUUCCACGUGUGGGAUUUUGUAUGUACCAUAUGAAUAAGGAUCGGCUAACUCCGUGCCAGCAGCCGCGGUAAUACGGAGGAUCCGAGCGUUAUCCGGAUUUAUUGGGUUUAAAGGGAGCGUAGGUGGAUUGUUAAGUCAGUUGUGAAAGUUUGCGGCUCAACCGUAAAAUUGCAGUUGAAACUGGCAGUCUUGAGUACAGUAGAGGUGGGCGGAAUUCGUGGUGUAGCGGUGAAAUGCUUAGAUAUCACGAAGAACUCCGAUUGCGAAGGCAGUUCACUGGACUGCAACUGACACUGAGGCUCGAAAGUGUGGGUAUCAAACAGGAUUAGAUACCCCUGUAGUC
This 460-nucleotide ribosomal RNA is filed under the name uncultured bacterium. RNAcentral describes it as "partial 16S ribosomal RNA". It matches the Rfam family "Bacterial small subunit ribosomal RNA", at positions 338 to 795 of the family's 1533-position model. The record is from RNAcentral.